AUUGCACGCUGGUGGCAGGCCUAACACAUGCCAGUCGAGCGGAGCGGCAGACGGGUUAGUAAUGCCUAGGAAUCUGCCUGGUCGUGGGGGAUAACGUCCGGAAACGGGCGCUACUAGCGCAUACUAUCAGAUUAGCCUAGGUCGGAUUAGCUAGUUGGUGGGGUAAAGGCCUAACAAGGCGACGAUCAGUAACUGGUCUAAGAUGAUGAUCAGUCAAACUGGAACUUAGACAAGGUCCAUACUCCUACGGGAGGCAGCAGUGGGGAAUAUUGGACAAUGUGCGAAAGCCUGAUCCAGCCAUGCCGCGUGUGUGAAGAAGGUCUUCGGAUUGUAAAGCACUUUAAGUUGGGAGGCGUUACCAACAGAAUAAGCACCGGCUAACUUCGUGCCAGCCGCCGCGGUAAUAC
Molecule: ribosomal RNA, 407 nt
Filed under: uncultured bacterium
Lineage: Bacteria
Description: partial 16S ribosomal RNA
Rfam family: Bacterial small subunit ribosomal RNA
Source: RNAcentral